Molecule: long non-coding RNA, 1084 nt
Organism: Passer montanus (Eurasian tree sparrow)
Lineage: Eukaryota; Metazoa; Chordata; Aves; Passeriformes; Passeridae
Exons: 3
Source: RefSeq, a predicted model, not a curated record
GAGAGGCGGCCCCGUGAGGCGACACCCGCGCGGCGGGGAAAAAGGCACCCGCCCGGCCAUUCGGCAGCUCCCCCUCCCCGCGACUCCCGCCAGCGGGGGCGACCCAGCGCCGCACACAGCGUGUCCCCGGGGGAAAGGUCUCACUCCAGGAUGUCAGUGUCUCCAUUCUACCAGGGAAUCCAGCACUAGGCCCAGCAUUCCAGGACUCUCUCAUGGGGGCUGAGAAAGUAUCAUCACCCCUCAGCUUGCUGGCAGUGCUCUUCCUGAUGGAGCCCAGGACGGCCUUAUUUUCUGGCUCGUGACUGAUUUGUUGUGCACCGUUUUGACACUCAGAUACCUUUGUGCAAAGCUGCUUCCCAGCCUCCAUUAUUGUGUGAAGGCAUGGAGAUGAAAGACAUGAAGGUAUGUAUGCUGAUGACAAGAUUUCUUGAAGCAUUUGCAGUGUCACAUUUUGUAUAUCCUUAGGCACGGCACUGAGUUCAUAUUUGUGAACUUGAUCUUUUUUUAUCUGUGUAUCAAUACAAUUCCAGAAUAUGAAUCAACCCAAAACAUACAGGAGUUGUCACAUAAGAAAACAUUAUGGUUGGUGUAACUGACCAUCAUUUUACAAUAGCUUUCUUCUUUCAUUGGGGCAUAAAAUUGUGGGGUUUUAAGUACAAAAGAAGCAGAGCAGAUACUAACAUGAAUGCUCUGCAUUUGUCAUGCAAGGAGAAAUUCAUGAUUGCAUCAGCCUCCACAGAGGGUAGCUGGAAGCCAUCCGACAGCGAUGACUAAACAGAAACUGAUCUGUUGUUUGCCGAUUGGCACACCGGUAUUGCCAGAGCCAGGAAUGCAGCACGGGAGACAAACAGUUGUAACCCUAUCACUUCUACAUAUACAUCAUAAUAGCAACAAACAACAUUUCCUGAAAAGAGCAGAAAAGUAACAGAGCAAUUGUUUUAUCGUGAGGGCAGUCAAUCUUUACUUCUUGAUCUUAAUUUGCCACCAUAAUCUUCAGAGAUCACUCAAUUUCCCAUACAGGCUGAAAUCACUAAGUUUCUGAAAAACAAUAGGUGUACCUAGUACACUUGCUCUUCACCACUUA